CCACUUCAGAGGAGUCCCAUAAUAGGACGAAACGGCCUUCCAGUGU
Molecule: non-coding RNA, 46 nt
Organism: Schistosoma rodhaini
Lineage: Eukaryota; Metazoa; Platyhelminthes; Trematoda; Strigeidida; Schistosomatidae
Source: Rfam